UCCAUUGGUGUGGUUUGUUCAGAUUGGUUUUAUUGAGAUCAUGUCAAAUUCUUCCCUACUCAUAAAAAUUUCAGUACAUCCCGACUAGAUGAACAUAACAAGAAUAUUUCAUAAUUAUAUCUUUUUAAAAAGACACGGACACGUUUAGUACUUCCAGUGAGCUAUUCGCUCUUUGAAGGAAGCACGACACUAGACAACGGACUAGCAUGCAACGCCCAGUGGCACAGCCGAAAACUUUUCCUGACAGCUGCGGCGGGAAUCGAACCCGCGCUCCUAGCACGAUGCGACUAAAUGCUUGGUGACACUA
This is a long non-coding RNA of Aedes albopictus (Asian tiger mosquito), 307 nucleotides long. RefSeq lists it as uncharacterized. The record is from RefSeq and is a predicted model, not a curated record. Lineage: Eukaryota; Metazoa; Arthropoda; Insecta; Diptera; Culicidae. The transcript is spliced from 2 exons.